AGGAUCAUUACACAUAUAUGGGACACUAAUGUGGUCCCUUGACUAAAACCCUCUCUGCGUACCAAUCUAUGUUGCUUUCCUAGGUGGUUGGUUUCAGCUGCCGUCCAACAUUGCCUGCUAGCUCAGUCAAUCCGAGUUGUUAACUUGGAGUUUGAUCUAUUUUACUGAUGGGUUAAGCUUUAAUGGGUCAGCGAGCUUAAUUUAUAUCUAUCAGGAUCAGCUAUGUAGGCCCCUGGGAAAGGGUCCAUUGCAAGUGAAUAUUUCAAUCAGCUGUCUGAGUCGGCCUAGUGCCUUAUUCUUUAAACAAGUUAAAACUUUCAACAACGGAUCUCUUGGCUCUCGCAUCGAUGAAGAACGCAGCGAAAUGCGAUAAGUAAUGUGAAUUGCAGAAUUCAGUGAAUCAUCGAAUCUUUGAACGCACAUUGCGCCCCUUGGUAUUCCUUGGGGCAUGCCUGUUCGAGCGUCACUACAAACCCGCUCAUAAAUGUUAUGGUAUUGAUGGAAGUGAACUGUUGCAACUAAAGUGUGUGGAUCACCCCAUCGAAAUACAUAGGCAGGACAACAAACCUCUGUAGCUGACUUAGUAACUGUUUUCAAGACACAAACCAGUCACUUGCUAGGUUCUAGCCUGGCCUCAUUAGACCUCCAUUCAAGAUAAAUACUGGGUUGACCUCGGAUCAGGUAGGGAUACCCGCUGAACUUAAGCAUAUCAAUAAGCGGAGGAAAAGAAACCAACAGGGAUUGCCCUAGUAACGGCGAGUGAAGCGGCAAAAGCUCAAAUUUGAAAUCUGGCGCCUNUGGNGUCCGAGUUGUAAUUUGGAGAGGCAUCUUCCGGAGGGGUCCAGCCUAUGUUCCUUGGAACNGGACAUCACAGAGGGUGAGAAUCCCGUUCAUGGCUGGAGAUACCCUUCAUUAGGUAGUGCUUUCUACGAGUCGAGUUGUUUGGGAAUGCAGCUCAAAAUGGGUGGUAAAUUUCAUCUAAAGCUAAAUAUAGGCGAGAGACCGAUAGCGCACAAGUAGAGUGAUCGAAAGAUGAAAAGCACUUUGAAAAUAGAGUCAAACAGUACGUGAAAUUGUUGAAAGGGAAGCGCUUGAGACCAGACUCAGCCUUGGGCAAACAGCCUUCCUUCUGGGUGGUGCACUUGCCCUUGGNUGGGCCAGCAUCAGUCANNACGGUGGAAUAAAGACCUGNGGAAUGUGACUCCGCUCNNNAGUGUUAUAGCCUCGGGUGUCAUCCUGCCUGCCCUGACUGUGGACCG
RNAcentral lists this ribosomal RNA (1259 nucleotides) under Tuber cf. candidum src625. RNAcentral's name for it is "eukaryotic LSU rRNA". The stretch from base 668 to 1259 matches the Rfam family "Eukaryotic large subunit ribosomal RNA", at positions 1 to 597 of the family's 3401-position model. The record is from RNAcentral. Lineage: Eukaryota; Fungi; Ascomycota; Pezizomycetes; Pezizales; Tuberaceae.